AGGCGCAAGAGUUAAGAGUGUAUUUUACUUCAGAUGGUGGUAGCAGAUUAGCUGAGAUGGAGGCUGAAGUAGGCUGAAAGCAAGACUUGUGAUGGACCGUGAUCCUGAAACAGAGAGAACAAAGUCACUACAGGAUCAGCGACGGGACCAGACAAACCCAGAAGAUGCUUGUGUCAUGGACUGACAGACAAGUAGCAAGGAAGAUCCAUCAUUCAAGCAUGGCAAUCAAAAUCCCAGCGAUUAACCUGUUCUGCCACCUCACAGUGAGAAGGGCUGCUGGACUGAAGCUGAACUUAAGAUGAGGCAAAUGAAUUUAAAAGGGACCAGGGGGUGGCAGCGAGCUUGAAAAUCAAAGCUGACAUCCGGCGCUCAGCAGAGGAG
Oreochromis niloticus (Nile tilapia) is the source of this 381-nucleotide long non-coding RNA. RefSeq lists it as uncharacterized. Lineage: Eukaryota; Metazoa; Chordata; Actinopteri; Cichliformes; Cichlidae. The transcript is spliced from 3 exons. The record is from RefSeq and is a predicted model, not a curated record.